UGGCCGCCGGAACAUCCAAAAUGGCAGGCUGCAGCGUUUUUGCACCCUUGGUAAGCAAGGGGAGGGCGCGAAAACGCUGCCGGAACAGCUGAAAUGGCUGCGCGCAGUGUUUUCGCGCCCUCCCCUCGCUCACCAAGGGUGCGAAAACGCUGCGGCCGGGCAUUUCGGCUGUUCCGGGGGCCGUUGCAUUGUAUAGGAACAUUAUUGCUGGGGCAGAACAGACACUCAGCUCCAGUUGGCUUUUGAAGAAAUCUACGCUAUCAAUUUGCUGAAACACUGCAUCAGUGUUCUGUGUUGGGAGCAUCAGAGUGACUACGAUAAAGGCCUUCAGGCCACUGGCGUCCUCUCAUCAUGUGGGAUAGGCCCAAGGAUAAGCGUAAACCAUGUAGAAUGUAAACAGAAGACCGUAACAUCACUGAAAAGAGAUAUCUUUAUAGCCCCUUUGAAUCAAAGUUAUUUUUGGAGAGAGAUUCUAGAGGACUCCAAUCACCAUGCAGGCUCUCCUGAGACUCUUCCUGUCCUUCCUGCUCCCAACAAUAGGUGCUUCCAUACAGUGUGAAGUCUGUUAUUCCGUUGGCAACAGCUGCACUGGGAAUAUGCAGACAUGCCCUUCUGGACAAGAUAUCUGCACUGUUGCAUUUUCAGAAAGUACUCUUGAUGGACAGAGAAUUCUCACCACGGAGAAAGGCUGCGAAAACUCAGAGAUCUGCGCCUCUUCCCCGGUUGACUUGUAUUUGGGGCAGGGAAAAUCCUACAGGGCACAUCUGUAUUGUUGCACUGGAGAUGCCUGUGGAAACAUCUCCCCUGAAUUACCACCCGAGCAGAUGAAUUCCAUGUGGACAGCAUCAUAAAGGGAUGCACGACAAAGUCUGUCUGUAAGUCAUUACUUCAUGGUAAAUCCCCAUUUUUUGGACGUGCUAAUACUGUCAUAAGUGCAAAAUGUUCGCCAGAUGUUUCACGGGGGUGUCGAAUCACCAUCUCCCUCUUGCCUUCCUUCUCCGGGCUUCUGCUGCUACAAGUCCUUUUGUAAAAGACACCUACAAGGAACUGCAUCCACACGACGUUUCAAUUAUACUGGUGUUUUGUCUGUAUACUUCUCCUUCUCAAAGCGGAUGAGUCUUCCAGAUGGAGUUUCCUUGGCUGUUCUCACACUAAAUAAACAUCAGCAUUAAAGUAAAUGAAAUAUGGAU
Molecule: long non-coding RNA, 1190 nt
Filed under: Pogona vitticeps (central bearded dragon)
Lineage: Eukaryota; Metazoa; Chordata; Lepidosauria; Squamata; Agamidae
Description: lncRNA (ENSPVIG00000007586.1)
Source: RNAcentral